GCUGUGCUGGCUGAGUGGUUAAGGCAUUAGACUCAUAAUCCAAUAGGGUUUCCCUGGGCAGGUUCAAACCCUGCUCACAGCG
This is a non-coding RNA of Gopherus evgoodei (Goodes thornscrub tortoise), 82 nucleotides long. Lineage: Eukaryota; Metazoa; Chordata; Testudines; Testudinidae. The record is from the annotation of a RefSeq genome assembly.